Molecule: ribosomal RNA, 500 nt
Filed under: uncultured bacterium
Lineage: Bacteria
Description: partial 16S ribosomal RNA
Rfam family: Bacterial small subunit ribosomal RNA
Source: RNAcentral
AUUGAACGCUGGCGGCAGGCCUAACACAUGCAAGUCGAGCGGAUGACGGGAGCUUGCUCCCUGAUUCAGCGGCGGACGGGUGAGUAAUGCCUAGGAAUCUGCCUGGUAGUGGGGGACAACGUUUCGAAAGGAACGCUAAUACCGCAUACGUCCUACGGGAGAAAGCAGGGGACCUUCGGGCCUUGCGCUAUCAGAUGAGCCUAGGUCGGAUUAGCUAGUUGGUGGGGUAAUGGCUCACCAAGGCGACGAUCCGUAACUGGUCUGAGAGGAUGAUCAGUCACACUGGAGCUGAGACACGGUCCAGACUCCUACGGGAGGCAGCAGUGGGGAAUAUUGGACAAUGGGCGAAAGCCCGAUCCAGCCAUGCCGCGUGUGUGAAGAAGGUCUUCGGAUUGUAAAGCACUUUAAGUUGGGAGGAAGGGCAGUAAGCUAAUACCUUGCUGUUUUGACGUUACCGACAGAAUAAGCACCGGCUAACUCUGUGCCAGCCGCCGCCGUAA